RNAcentral lists this transfer RNA (67 nucleotides) under Actinomycetota bacterium. RNAcentral describes it as "Actinobacteria bacterium tRNA-Leu". It matches the Rfam family "tRNA". Rfam says of the family: Transfer RNA (tRNA) molecules are approximately 80 nucleotides in length. Their secondary structure includes four short double-helical elements and three loops (D, anti-codon, and T loops). Further hydrogen bonds mediate the characteristic L-shaped molecular structure. tRNAs have two regions of fundamental functional importance: the anti-codon, which is responsible for specific mRNA codon recognition, and the 3' end, to which the tRNAs corresponding amino acid is attached (by aminoacyl-tRNA synthetases). tRNAs cope with the degeneracy of the genetic code in two manners: having more than one tRNA (with a specific anti-codon) for a particular amino acid; and 'wobble' base-pairing, i.e. permitting non-standard base-pairing at the 3rd anti-codon position. Lineage: Bacteria; Bacillati; Actinomycetota. The record is from RNAcentral.
CCCCGCAGGCGACCGCAGAGGACUUAAAAUCCUCCCAGUGUGGGUUCGACCCCCACUCGGGGCACCA